UACGUAGGGUGCAAGCGUUGUCCGGAAUUAUUGGGCGUAAAGAGCUCGUAGGCGGUUUGUCGCGUCGAAUGUGAAAACCCGGGGCUCAACCCCGGGCCUGCAUUCGAUACGGGCAGACUAGAGUUCGGUAGGGGAGUCUGGAAUUCCUGGUGUAGCGGUGAAAUGCGCAGAUAUCAGGAGGAACACCGGUGGCGAAGGCGGGACUCUGGGCCGCAACUGACGCUGAGGAGCGAAAGCAUAGGGAGCGAACAGG
RNAcentral lists this ribosomal RNA (253 nucleotides) under uncultured bacterium. RNAcentral's name for it is "partial 16S ribosomal RNA". It matches the Rfam family "Bacterial small subunit ribosomal RNA", at positions 524 to 776 of the family's 1533-position model. The record is from RNAcentral.